Molecule: ribosomal RNA, 253 nt
Filed under: uncultured bacterium
Lineage: Bacteria
Description: partial 16S ribosomal RNA
Rfam family: Bacterial small subunit ribosomal RNA
Source: RNAcentral
UACGAAGGGGGCUAGCGUUGCUCGGAAUCACUGGGCGUAAAGGGCGCGUAGGCGGCCGAUCAAGUCAGGGGUGAAAGCCUGUGGCUCAACCACAGAAUUGCCUUUGAUACUGUUUGGCUAGAGACCGGAAGAGGCUAGUGGAACUGCGAGUGUAGAGGUGAAAUUCGUAGAUAUUCGCAAGAACACCAGUGGCGAAGGCGGCUAACUGGUCCGGUUCUGACGCUGAGGCGCGAAAGCGUGGGGAGCAAACAGG